Molecule: non-coding RNA, 1557 nt
Organism: Picea glauca (white spruce)
Lineage: Eukaryota; Viridiplantae; Streptophyta; Pinopsida; Pinales; Pinaceae
Source: Rfam
CUUGGUGGUAGUAACAAAUAUUCAAAUGAGAACUUUGAAGACUGAAGUGGGAAAAGGUUCCAUGUGAAUAACACUUGGACAUGGUUUAGUCGAUCCUAAGAGAUGGGGAAGCCAUGUAUCAAUGGUUCACUCUGCACAAACAUCGAAAGGGAAUUGGGUUAAUAUUACCGAACCGAGACAUGGCGGUGGACGACAACGUUAGGAAAUUCGAAGCCAUCUUUGGGGGCCCCGGGAAGAGUUAUCUUUUCUAUUUAAUGACUUUCCCACCCCGAAAUCGGUUCAACCUGAUCCGCAUUUUAUGAGCAGAACAAAAUGAAUAUAGAUUAUUAAAAGAUGCUUAACAAAAAAUAACAAAGAUACAAUAAAACUGGUUUUCUAUUCAAUAAGGAAAUAAGUUGAAUCUGUAAAAUGCAGUGGAAAAGAAGCUUGUUGGAAUGGUGGCGGCUUAUCUCUGAGAAGAGAUGCGACGACUGUGCUCAUUCGCCAUAAGAUUAUUACAAUGAGGAUAUGAAGGCCUUUUUACAAUAAACAGUAAUGUAAAAAACCCUAUACAUCCAAGAACCUAACCCUAGGAGAUGAAGCACCAAAAGUCAUGUGGGCCCCAUUUGGAUAAGUUAGUACAUCAACUUCCCGGGGUCGUAACUUUUUCAUAUGAUCUUCGUUUUAGGCACACGAUAGCCCAUUGGAAAGGUCUAGACGAGGACUACACAUUUUGAUGCUAUUUAUAAAAGGUCAUUUGCGACUGUGGCGAGCCCUAAAAACGUUAUUUAGGGACUCAAAACGGCCCCACAAGUUAGGGACCCAAAACUAGGAAAAAACUGCCAAACUAGAAAACUGCCAAAAUGAACCAGUUGGAAUAGGUGGGUGGCCACCGACAUCCAUAUGGAUCACAACCGGAGAUAGGGUCCAACAUAUGGAAGAGAACCGCACAUCUUGCAGUGUCCAGUGCCCCUUUGAUGGCCAUUGAAAAUCUAGAGGACCGAGUAUCAUCCAUGCCCGAUCGUACUCAUAACCGUAUUAGGUCUCCAAGGUGAACAACCUAUAGUUAAUAGAACAAUGUAGGUAAGGGAAGUCAGAAAAACAGAUCCAUAACUUUGGGAAAAGGAUUGACUCUGAGGGUUGGGUCUAGGGGUCUGCAUCUUCAACCCGUGGGUAGUCGAUAGUCUUCCCGAGUUGAUCUCGUAGUGAGGGUGUGUUGUCAAGUGAAAAUUGGGCUAUGAACAUAGAAUGUCCCCUCGUGGGGGAUUUUCUGUAUGCGGUGAAAAUUUGACUUAGAACUGGUACGGAGAAGGGGAAUAUGUCAUUUUAAUUAAAACAAAGCAUUGUGAUGGUCCCUAUGGAUGCUGACGCAAUGUGAUUUUUUCCCAGUGCUCUGAAUGUCAAAGUGAAUAAAUUCAACAAAGCAUGAGUAAACGACGAGAAUAACUAUGACUCUAUUAAGGUAUUAAAAUUCCUCAUCAUCUAAUUACUAACGUGCAUGAAUGGAUUAACAAGAUUCAUAUUGUCCCUAUCUACUAUAUAACAAAAACACAUCCAAGGGAAUGGGCUUGGAAUAAU